Molecule: long non-coding RNA, 1218 nt
Organism: Leopardus geoffroyi (Geoffroy's cat)
Lineage: Eukaryota; Metazoa; Chordata; Mammalia; Carnivora; Felidae
Exons: 7
Source: RefSeq, a predicted model, not a curated record
CAACCUUCCAGGACACCUCACUGAAUGUGAUGCUCAGAGUAUUGGUGGAAAAUUCAUAAGUUGGGAUUGGAUGCCAGACUGGUAAGCAAGUGCUUGUUACCGUGAUGAUUUCAGAGCAACUGCUGUCUGCACAGUGGAGGGUCCAAAAAGCAACUAAAAAGGGAAGGAGAACAGCUGAAAGUUUUUUGAAAAGAGAAAAAAAAAAAUCUCAUUUGGUCCUUGAGCACGUGCCAACCUCCCUUUUUUAUCGUGGAGCCAGCUCGCUAUCGGCAGGCUCAGACGGUUCCACCAGAAACAGUAUUUGGCUGGAAUCUGAACUCAUGUUUGAAGACGCUGGUGUGGAAAAUUAGAGUGAGGUUCGUCUUCAAAUUUUAGGAUAUGAAGAAACAUAUGGAACAUAAACUGAAACAAAUUUAAAUGGAGGUCCUGGAGAAGUAGUCCUUUGACUUUCAGGACAUCAUAAACAGAAGAAGGCAUUAGAAAUUUUUUCAAGAGAAAUUGCACAAGCAGGGCCUGCCUGGAAUGGCACCUGAUCUGAUGGCAGUGGAUUGAAGGUCAUCUAAAAGUAUCUCCUGUUUUACAACCAGUUUUCUUACUGUAUCUCAAAACAAGGUUAAGGUAAGAGAGACUCCUUAGUCUGCUACCACAGUAUCUUAAUUACACUUUCACACAUAAGUGUUUUUGUGAGAGGUUAGUCUUUACAAGCCUUUUCAACUCUACUGUUUAUCAUUGUUAAUGGGUGUGAAUGGGGAAUGGGUCACCCUAAUUACCUGAUUGUUCCUAUUGAGUGGCAGUUAACCCUCCCCAUGAGCUGGAUCUGUUAACUCUAGACCAAGUAUCUGACUACUCAGAUAGACAGACUGCAUGCUCUUGCAUCCGAAUUUUUUUUCCCCAGGGCUGUAAGAUCAUAUUGGAUAUUGUCUCGGUUAUUUACUUCUAAAAAUAUUGCAUUUCACCAAUCAUCUGUAGUCUAGGAACCAGGAUAGCAUUCACAGUGACAAUAUACUGAUAAAAAUAUAAAUCUCUCUGAUAAUUUUAAUUAAACAGAAUAAACCAAAAGGAAAAAAUAAAUGCUUCUGAACCUUCACACAUCAAAUAUAAAACUUCAGAAGCCAUACGUACUCCUGAAAACACUGAGUUUCUUUAAAAAGUGAUUGUCAAGAUGGGGCACCUGGGUGGCUCAGUCAGUUAAGCAUAUGGCUUUGGCUCAGGUCGUGA